This 253-nucleotide ribosomal RNA is filed under the name uncultured bacterium. Its description in RNAcentral is "partial 16S ribosomal RNA". It matches the Rfam family "Bacterial small subunit ribosomal RNA", at positions 524 to 776 of the family's 1533-position model. The record is from RNAcentral.
UACGAAGGGGGCUAGCGUUGCUCGGAAUUACUGGGCGUAAAGGGCGCGUAGGCGGAUAGUUUAGUCAGAGGUAAAAGCCCAGGGCUCAACCUUGGAACUGCCUUUGAUACUGGCUAUCUUGAGUACGGGAGAGGUGUGUGGAACUCCGAGUGUAGAGGCGAAAUUCGUAGAUAUUCGGAAGAACACCAGUGGCGAAGGCGACACACUGGCCCGUUACUGACGCUGAGGCGCGAAAGCGUGGGGAGCAAACAGG